Molecule: long non-coding RNA, 314 nt
Organism: Amblyraja radiata (thorny skate)
Lineage: Eukaryota; Metazoa; Chordata; Chondrichthyes; Rajiformes; Rajidae
Exons: 2
Source: RefSeq, a predicted model, not a curated record
AGUUUCCCGGGGCAACCGAUGUCGGCGGGAAGAAGGCGGGUUCAUGUGAGCGGCAACAACAAUGGCGGACAGCAGGAUGAUGGUAGAUGUCUUGAAAUAGAUGGGGACCUCGCAGUGGAGUAGUGAGAAGUUAAAGAUGUCUGUGAAUACCUCUGCCAACUGACCUGUACAGGUCCCGAGGAUGCAGUCAGGAACUCUAUCUGGGAGUAUGUCAAUUUUGCUACAGAUCCACAAAUGUUUGAACAGGAGGUCAAACAUUUGGUAACUCACAAAAUUUAGGCUGCGAGUUAAAAAAGAAAUAUCAGAAUAGUCAA